AUAGAAAUUAUUAAUUUUAUUUUAUUUAAAUUAAAAUAUUUUAUAAAAGUAAUUUAAUUAUUUAUUGUUUUAGUAUUUAGUAAAAAUAAAUUUGUAGAUUUAUAGUUUAAUAGUAUUGUAUAAGAAUUUUUUUAAAUUUGGAAAAGAAUUGAAUUUUUAGUACCUUUUGUAUCAGGGUUGAUUAAAAUUUUUAAUUUAAUUUUAAAUUCUCAAAAUAUAUAGAGUUAAUUUUAUUAUUAAUUUAUUAUUUUAUAAAUAUUUAGAAAAUAAUUUUAGUUUUGAAAUUUAAUUCGUUAUAUAAUAUUUAGUUAUUUAAGAAUUAAAUUUAAUUUAUAAUUUUAAAAGUUUUAUUUAUAAUAUUAAAUAUAAAUUUAUUUUAAAUUUAAAUUAUUUUAGGGAUAAGCUUGAAAUUUUUAUAUAAUAAUAUAUUUAUUAAAUAAUUUUUAGGAAUAGAAAUUUUUAUUUAAGUUUGUAAAAAUUUAUUAUUUAAGUUUAUUUAAUUUAUUAUAAGUUAUUUAUUUUUAAUAUUAAAUUUUAUGAAUUAAUAAUUUAUUUAUAGUAAUAAUGAUUAAAUUAGUAUAAUUAAAUUAUUUAUAAAUUAUGAAUUCGGCAAAAAUUAUUUUCAUCUGUUUAACAAAAACAUAGUAUUAAGAUUUAUUUAAUAUAGAGUCUGCUCAAUGAUUUAAUUUAAAUAGCUGCAGUAUUUUGACUGUGCAAAGGUAGCAUAAUAAUUAGUCUUUUAAUUGGGGACUGGGAUGAAAGAUUUGAUGAAAAAUAAACUUUAUUAUUUAUAAAAUUAAAAUUUUAUUUUUAAGUAAAAAAGCUUAAAUAUUUUAAAGGGACGAUAAGACCCUAUAAAACUUUAUAAUUAUUAUUAUUAAAAUUUUUGGGUUAUAUAAAUUUUGAUAUUUUUAAUUAUUUUAUUGGGGUGAUAAAAAAAAUUAUUUAACUUUUUUUAAAAUUUUACAUUAAUUAAUGAUAUUUUGAAUUAAAAUUUUUAAUUAUAUGAAAAAGUUACUUUAGGGAUAACAGCGUAAUUAAUUUUUUAAGUUCAAAUUUAAAAAUUAGUUUGCGACCUCGAUGUUGAAUUAAGAUUAGUCUUAGGUGCAAAAUUUUAAGUUAUAGGUCUGUUCGACCUUUAAAUUCUUACAUGAUUUGAGUUCAAACCGGUGUAAGCCAGGUUGGUUUCUAUCUUUUAAAAUUAAAUUUAUUUUAGUACGAAAGGAUUAAAUAAUUAAAUGAUAUUUUUAUUAAUGAAUAAAAUUAAUUGGA
RNAcentral lists this ribosomal RNA (1272 nucleotides) under Kaburagia rhusicola ensigallis. RNAcentral's name for it is "16S ribosomal RNA". Lineage: Eukaryota; Metazoa; Arthropoda; Insecta; Hemiptera; Aphididae. The record is from RNAcentral.